UACGGAAGGCAGCAGUGGGGAAUAUUGCACAAUGGGCGCAAGCCUGAUGCAGCCAUGCCGCGUGUAUGAAGAAGGCCUUCGGGUUGUAAAGUACUUUCAGCGGGGAGGAAGGCGAUGCGGUUAAUAACCGCGUCGAUUGACGUUACCCGCAGAAGAAGCACCGGCUAACUCCGUGCCAGCAGCCGCGGUAAUACGGAGGGUGCAAGCGUUAAUCGGAAUUACUGGGCGUAAAGCGCACGCAGGCGGUCUGUUAAGUCAGAUGUGAAAUCCCCGGGCUUAACCUGGGAACUGCAUUUUGAAGCUGGCAGGCUUGAGUCUUGUAGAGGGGGUAGAAUUCCAGGUGUAGCGGUGAAAUGCGUAGAGAUCUGGAGGAAUACCGGUGGCGAAGGCGGGCCCCUGGGACAAAGACUGACGCUCAGGUGCGAAAGCGUGGGGAGCAAACAGGAUUAGAUAACC
RNAcentral lists this ribosomal RNA (456 nucleotides) under uncultured bacterium. RNAcentral describes it as "bacterial SSU rRNA". It matches the Rfam family "Bacterial small subunit ribosomal RNA", at positions 340 to 787 of the family's 1533-position model. The record is from RNAcentral.